UACGUAGGGGGCGAGCGUUGUCCGGAAUGACUGGGCGUAAAGGGUACGUAGGCGGCCAGGUAAGUCAGAUGUGAAAGGCAUAGGCUCAACCUGUGUAAGCAUUUGAAACUGUCUGGCUUGAGUUAAGGAGAGGAAAGUGGAAUUCCUGGUGUAGCGGUGAAAUGCGUAGAUAUCAGGAGGAAUACCAGUGGCGAAGGCGACUUUCUGGACUUAAACUGACGCUGAGGUACGAAAGCGUGGGGAGCAAACAGGAUUAGAUACCCUGGUAGUCCACGCCGUAAACGAUGAGUGCUAGGUGUCGGGGGUUAAACCUCGGUGCCGGAGUUAACACAUUAAGCACUCCGCCUGGGGAGUACGUUCGCAAGAAUGAA
RNAcentral lists this ribosomal RNA (371 nucleotides) under uncultured bacterium. Its description in RNAcentral is "bacterial SSU rRNA". It matches the Rfam family "Bacterial small subunit ribosomal RNA", at positions 524 to 898 of the family's 1533-position model. The record is from RNAcentral.